This 764-nucleotide ribosomal RNA is filed under the name Lepraria larrainiana. RNAcentral's name for it is "SSU rRNA". It matches the Rfam family "Bacterial small subunit ribosomal RNA", at positions 378 to 1189 of the family's 1533-position model. The record is from RNAcentral. Lineage: Eukaryota; Fungi; Ascomycota; Lecanoromycetes; Lecanorales; Stereocaulaceae.
AUAGCUGAUUGCACCAACAAAUGGUUGAUGCAAUAUUGACUCUGUCAAAUAAAAUUCUAGGUAGAAUUAUGAUAAUGACAUUGUCUGCCUAUAUGUCUUGACCAAAUUACGUGCCAGCAGUCGCGGUAAUACGUAGAAGACUAGUGUUAUUCAUCUUUAAUAGGUUUAAAGGGUACCUAGACGGUAAAUCAAGCCUUCACAGGGACUAAUUUACUAGAGUUACUUACGAGGGGGUAUUAAAGUACUGCAGGUGUAGAGAUGAAAUUCUGUCAUACCUCUUUUCAAAAGAAAAAUUAUGGCACAGGUAUAGGUGAAAGCAUCCCCUUAUGUGAUAACUGACGUUGAAGGACGAAGGCUUUGUGUCGCGAACAGGAUUAGAUACCCCAGUAGUCAAAGCAGAAAAUGAUGAAUGUCAUAGAUUAGAUAUAUAGUUUAUUCUAUAAAUGAAAAUGUAAGCAUUCCACCUCAAGAGUAAUUUGGCAACAUUGGAACUGAAAUCAUUAGACCGUUUCUGAAACCAGUAGUGAAGUAUGUUGUUUAAUUUGAUGAUCCGCAAAAAACCUUACCACAAUUUGAAUAUUUGUAUCUAUCUUUUUUUUCGUAAAAAAAUAAAAAGGUAAUAUAUUUACAAGCGUUGCACGGCUGUCUUCAGUUAAUGUCGCGAGACUUUGGUUAGUUCCAUUUAAUUAACGUAAACCCUUACUUUAUUUUUAUAUGAAGUAGUUCCCCGCUAUAUUGGAUAUGAUAACAGGGACUAGGACAAG